UACGUAGGGGGCCAGCGUUGCUCGGAAUUACUGGGCGUAAAGGGUCCGUAGGCGGUGCGGUAAGUCGGGAGUGAAAUCUCUGGGCUUAACUCAGAGGCUGCUUCCGAAACUGCCGUGCUCGAGUGCGAGAGAGGCGAGUGGAAUUGCGGGUGUAGCGGUGAAAUGCGUAGAUAUCCGCAGGAACAUCCGAGGCGAAAGCGGCUCGCUGGAUCGCAACUGACGCUGAGGGACGAAAGCUAGGGGAGCAAACAGG
Molecule: ribosomal RNA, 253 nt
Filed under: uncultured bacterium
Lineage: Bacteria
Description: partial 16S ribosomal RNA
Rfam family: Bacterial small subunit ribosomal RNA
Source: RNAcentral